GUUUGAUCCUGGCUCAGGAUGAACGCUAGCUACAGGCUUAACACAUGCAAGUCGAGGGGUAGCAGGGUAGCAAUACCGCUGACGACCGGCGCACGGGUGAGUAACACGUAUCCAACCUACCAUUCACACGGGGAUAGCCUUUCGAAAGAAAGAUUAAUACCCGAUAGUAUAACGAUAAGGCAUCUUAUUGUUAUUAAAGAAUUUCGGUGUUUGAUGGGGAUGCGUUCCAUUAGAUUGUUGGUGAGGUAACGGCUCACCAAGUCUUCGAUGGAUAGGGGUUCUGAGAGGAAGGUCCCCCACAUUGGAACUGAGACACGGUCCAAACUCCUACGGGAGGCAGCAGUGAGGAAUAUUGGUCAAUGGACGAGAGUCUGAACCAGCCAAGUAGCGUGAAGGAUGAAGGCCCUAUGGGUCGUAAACUUCUUUUAUAGGGGAAUAAAGUGCGGAACGUGUUCCGCUUUGUAUGUACCCUACGAAUAAGGAUCGGCUAACUCCGUGCCAGCAGCCGCGGUAAUACGGAGGAUCCGAGCGUUAUCCGGAUUUAUUGGGUUUAAAGGGAGCGUAGGUGGAUAUAUAAGUCAGUUGUGAAAGUUUGCGGCUCAACCGUAAAAUUGCAGUUGAUACUGUAUAUCUUGAGUGUACAAGAGGUAGGCGGAAUUCGUGGUGUAG
RNAcentral lists this ribosomal RNA (669 nucleotides) under Bacteroides sp. BlueCatfish8. RNAcentral's name for it is "bacterial SSU rRNA". It matches the Rfam family "Bacterial small subunit ribosomal RNA", at positions 11 to 678 of the family's 1533-position model. Lineage: Bacteria; Pseudomonadati; Bacteroidota; Bacteroidia; Bacteroidales; Bacteroidaceae. The record is from RNAcentral.